This 465-nucleotide ribosomal RNA is filed under the name Vreelandella stevensii. RNAcentral's name for it is "partial 16S ribosomal RNA". It matches the Rfam family "Bacterial small subunit ribosomal RNA", at positions 338 to 795 of the family's 1533-position model. The record is from RNAcentral. Lineage: Bacteria; Pseudomonadati; Pseudomonadota; Gammaproteobacteria; Oceanospirillales; Halomonadaceae.
CCUACGGGUGGCAGCAGUGGGGAAUAUUGGACAAUGGGCGAAAGCCUGAUCCAGCCAUGCCGCGUGUGUGAAGAAGGCCUUCGGGUUGUAAAGCACUUUCAGUGGGGAAGAAAGCCUUGGGGCUAAUACCCUCGAGGAAGGACAUCACCCACAGAAGAAGCACCGGCUAACUCCGUGCCAGCAGCCGCGGUAAUACGGAGGGUGCGAGCGUUAAUCGGAAUUACUGGGCGUAAAGCGCGCGUAGGCGGUCUGAUAAGCCGGUUGUGAAAGCCCCGGGCUUAACCUGGGAACGGCAUCCGGAACUGGCAGGCUAGAGUGCAUGAGAGGAAGGUAGAAUUCCCGGUGUAGCGGUGAAAUGCGUAGAGAUCGGGAGGAAUACCAGUGGCGAAGGCGGGCUUCUGGACUGACACUGACGCUGAGGUGCGAAAGCGUGGGUAGCAAACAGGAUUAGAUACCCUGGUAGUC